AGCUUGCUUUUUUGAGACCGGCGCACGGGUGAGUAACGCGUAUGCAACCUACCUUAUACAGGGGAAUAGCCCGAAGAAAUUCGGAUUAAUGCUCCAUGGUUUAUCGAUAUGGCAUCGUAUUGAUAAUAAAGAUUUAUCGGUAUAAGAUGGGCAUGCGUAUCAUUAGCUAGUUGGUGUGGUAACGGCAUACCAAGGCAACGAUGAUUAGGGGUCCUGAGAGGGAGAUCCCCCACACUGGUACUGAGACACGGACCAGACUCCUACGGGAGGCAGCAGUGAGGAAUAUUGGUCAAUGGAGGCAACUCUGAACCAGCCAUGCCGCGUGCAGGAUGACGGUCCUAUGGAUUGUAAACUGCUUUUGUACAGGAAGAAACCUCCCUACGAGUAGGGACUUGACGGUACUGUAAGAAUAAGGAUCGGCUAACUCCGUGCCAGCAGCCGCGGUAAUACGGAGGAUCCGAGCGUUAUCCGGAAUUAUUGGGUUUAAAGGGUUCGUAGGCGGCUUUGUAAGUCAGUGGUGAAAUUUCCUAGCUUAACUAGGACACUGCCAUUGAUACUGCAGAGCUUGAAUAAUAUGGAAGUAACUAGAAUAUGUAGUGUAGCGGUGAAAUGCUUAGAUAUUACAUGGAAUACCAAUUGCGAAGGCAGGU
This 650-nucleotide ribosomal RNA is filed under the name Myroides odoratimimus. Its description in RNAcentral is "bacterial SSU rRNA". It matches the Rfam family "Bacterial small subunit ribosomal RNA", at positions 77 to 726 of the family's 1533-position model. Lineage: Bacteria; Pseudomonadati; Bacteroidota; Flavobacteriia; Flavobacteriales; Flavobacteriaceae. The record is from RNAcentral.